RNAcentral lists this long non-coding RNA (933 nucleotides) under Phascolarctos cinereus (koala). Its description in RNAcentral is "lncRNA (ENSPCIG00000029055.2)". Lineage: Eukaryota; Metazoa; Chordata; Mammalia; Diprotodontia; Phascolarctidae. The record is from RNAcentral.
GGGAUUAGUUACUAGGAAAGUGGUCAGAGAACAAGGGAGAUAGUUACUUGGCCAGAGUAAAGAGUCUAGAGUUAGGGGUGAGUAUAGAUCCUGACAACUGGAGGGAGUUAUGAAUUGCCCAGAUGUAAGAAAACGACAAAGCUAGCUGGCAUAUUAGACAAUAGUCAUCAGGAUGAUUUCUUUCUCUUCACCAUAGGAGUGAGCCUGUGAUCCGACAGAGCUUGAGGAAAGACCCCUAAACAUCUCUCUGCCCUUCUCAGCCCUGGUAGGUGGGCCCCUACCAGGAAGUUGUCUCAGAAAUUCCACCUGACCUCAGAGCUGCCUUCCUCCAUCUAACCCUGGGUUCUUGCUCCCCAUCCUGGGAUCUCCCUUCUCCUGUAUCCAGACCCUAGGCUCCCUCUUAUAUACCAGCUAUGGGAACCUGCCAGGUGGGAAGCAACUUGAAAGCAAGAUGCCCAGAGCUAUUCUGGUCCCUAUAGAUAACACCCUACACUCUGCCAGCCCUUGGAAAAUACAUAUUGAUGAUGAGAAUGCAUGUGAGAUUAUUCCAGAGCUUACUAAGGAGUUAAGCAUGGCGGGUGCUCAAUAAGGGUUGUUGACUGACUGCCUGCUUCAUUGAACGUAUAGAGCACAAUGGACAUACAAGACAGAUCAGUUGUAAAUGGGAUUAAACUUUAGCUGGGGAGAGCUAGGAAUCUUCUGAUGGAGAAGCCAGUUGCUCUUUGGAGAUGAUGACCAGGAGAGAUGAGGAAAUGGAAUUGAUGGAGAGGCGGCCAAAGAGAUGGGCUAAGGGUGAUACUCCCCAAGGCUGGUGGAUGACUUGUGUCCAAGUCCCUUCCAAUGCUAAGAUUCUAUGAGAAUCACCCCUUGUCCUUAACGCAGAAACUGUAACAUUCUUUGUGUGACCAUGGACAAGUCACUUAACCUCUAAGG